Transfer RNA from Amanita muscaria Koide BX008, 98 nucleotides. It matches the Rfam family "tRNA". From Rfam's summary of the family: Transfer RNA (tRNA) molecules are approximately 80 nucleotides in length. Their secondary structure includes four short double-helical elements and three loops (D, anti-codon, and T loops). Further hydrogen bonds mediate the characteristic L-shaped molecular structure. tRNAs have two regions of fundamental functional importance: the anti-codon, which is responsible for specific mRNA codon recognition, and the 3' end, to which the tRNAs corresponding amino acid is attached (by aminoacyl-tRNA synthetases). tRNAs cope with the degeneracy of the genetic code in two manners: having more than one tRNA (with a specific anti-codon) for a particular amino acid; and 'wobble' base-pairing, i.e. permitting non-standard base-pairing at the 3rd anti-codon position. The record is from Rfam. Lineage: Eukaryota; Fungi; Basidiomycota; Agaricomycetes; Agaricales; Amanitaceae.
GGCAACAUGGCCGAGUGGUCUAAGGCGCUGGAAUUAGGCGGCACUAGCUGCGAAUAAUCCAGUCCGAAAGGGCGUGGGUUCGAACCCCACUGUUGUCA